AUGGUGAGUCACUUCCGUGAUAGGCGGGGGCAGGUGGGAUUGAGUGAGGAAGAAAAGAGAUCUGAGAAGAUAGAAGCUGCAGAGCUGCGGAGAAGGGGGCUGGGCUGGGAGGGGAGCUGCUGGAGGAACCAGAGCCCUGCAGGUUAUAGGAUCUUGGCUGAAGGGACCAGAGAAGGAUAUGGAAGGUGUGUGACAAUCCUAGCUCCAGGUGCAGUUUACAAGCCCCUCUGGGCACCCCGGGACUCCCAGCCAGGCCUCUGCACAUGGCGGUAUGGAGAGCCGAAUAUCACCCAAGAAGCAGUCCUGCCAAAAGUGUCCAACCCGGAUCUCACAGCAUCUGAAGCAGUGUUUCAACAGAAAUAUUUAUGAUGAUGGAAAUAUUUGCACUGCCCAGGACAGCAGCCACUGGCUAAAUGCGGAUAUUGGGCACUUGAAAUGAGGCUGGGAGCUGGAUUUUAAAAUCUAAGAUAAUCUUCAUGAAACUCAUUCGAUGUCAAAUACUCAUCUGUGGCUAGGGGCGACCAUGCCGGCCAGCGUAGCUCCAGGGUCCAAACCUAACCUCCGAGGCACAGGACGUGGGAGGCGGCAGGACAAGUUUCCAUGGGGAAAAGGGUCAGACAAAUCCCGAGGGGAGUGUUACAGGACGACAGCCCUGGGGUGCUCAAAACUCAGUGUCCUUAAAACCAAAACAAAAAAGCAGGAGAAGUGAGGGGCUGUCCUAGGUUAGACGAGGUGAACCAAACAAAGCAGGAAGCUAGAUGGGAUCCCGAUUGAAAAUAACAACGGUACAGACGCAGAGCUUCCUGGGUCAGCGAGGGCGCCAGACGUGCCUGGAUGCAGCGGAACAGCACAGGGCCACCGUUAGAUUUCUCAGGGGUUUCACCGGGGUUGUGAUAUUGGGACAUGUCCUUAUUUCCAGAGGGCGCAAGAUGAGUGUGCAACAAGGGUCUGAGGCCUGCAUCGUUGUAAUGAUGCGGGUGUGUGGGCUGGGGAGGGGGAGAGAGGGAGCUAAAGCAGAUUCGGCAAAAUGUUUUUAAAACAGUCCUGUCAUGCAGGAUACUUCUUCCCAGAAAGUAGAGAACGUACUUCAUGAACGGAGCGACUUAGAAGAGGUUUCUAGGCAAGCUGCCAUCUGGCUGCUUCCUGCUCUUUACCAUGAAAUGUGUGAUGGGAGAGAAGCUAGAGAGGCUUUAAGCACAGAGGAGUCAGGACUGGCUGGUUGGGAAACUCUCAGAGGCCCCCCCGCCCCCCGAGACGGCCGAUGAUGCUAAAGUGAAGAAACGGCUUCCAGGCGAAGUUAAAACCCAGGGACGGUCAGCAAAAUAUGGUACAAAGAUGAAGGCAAGAGCAUAGCUGUGAAAUCUUUCAUGAAAAGUUUUGUUAAGGAGUUCCUGUCAUGGCUCAGCAGUCACGAACCCAACUAGCAUCCAUGGGGAUUGAGGUUUGAUCCCUGGCCUCACUUGAUGGGUUAAGGAUCCAGCAUUGCCCUGAGCUGUGGUGUAGGUCACAGAUGCAGCUUGGAUCCCAUGUUGCGGUGGCUGUGGUGUAGGCUGGCAGCUGCAGCUCAGAUUCAACCCCUAGCCUGGGAACUUCCAUAUGCCACGGGUGUGGACCUUAAAAAAAAAAAAAAGAGUUUUGCGAAGAGAAGACUCCAGGGUGAGCCUCAGACAACCCUUCAGAUAAAGAACUUUCUUAGAAGGGUUUUGCCUCUCCGUAGCCCAGAAAAACUGAUGUUGCUGUGAGCGUUUGGGGACCUGAGUGUAUUUUUUUCACGUGGGGGGACGCGAAUCAUGUAGUCAGAUUCUAAGAUGCCCUCCUCGUCCUCGCCUCCCGACACGGAGCCCUGGUCCAGCCCUCCCGCGCUGUAGGGGUGCUGGCAUGGACUCUGAGGCCCGGCCAUCAAAGAAUGACUUUGGGCUCCUAGACGCUUGCUCUGGGGAACCCGGCUGCCGUGUCGUUUGCCCCCUCAGGCAGAAGCACCCAGAGGCCCGUGUGGACAGUGCCCUGGGUUGGAGGUGGGUCCCUCCCUCAGGUCCGUCCCAGACCCUCAGGACGUGACCUUGCUUGGAAAGAGGGUGGCCAUGCUGGGUAGGGUGUCUUAGAGCAGAGGGGGGCCGGGAACACACACAUGGGAAGACAGUGGAGAUGGAGGCAGACGCUGGAGCGAUGCACCUGCAAGGCAGAGGCCAGGCAGGGUUGGGCACCCAGAAGCUGAGAGAGGCUCCUGUGCCCGAGAGCCUUAGACAGCAUGGCUCUGCCGACACUGUGAUUCUGGAUUUCCCGCUGCAAGCACUGAGAGAAUAAAUUUGGUCCAAAUAUCA
This 2321-nucleotide long non-coding RNA is filed under the name Sus scrofa (pig). Its description in RNAcentral is "lncRNA (ENSSSCG00070014898.1)". Lineage: Eukaryota; Metazoa; Chordata; Mammalia; Artiodactyla; Suidae. The record is from RNAcentral.